UACGGAGGGUGCAAGCGUUAUCCGGAUUUACUGGGUUUAAAGGGUGUGUAGGCGGACUUUUAAGUCAGCGGUGAAAUCUCCGGGCUCAACCCGGAAACUGCCAUUGAUACUAUUGGUCUUGAAUGUUGUUGAGGUGGGCGGAACGGGUCAUGUAGCGGUGAAAUGCGUUGAUAUCAUUAGGAACACCGGUGGCGAAAGCGGCUCACUGGGACUCUUCUGACGCUGAGGCACGAAAGCUAGGGUAGCGAACGGG
This 253-nucleotide ribosomal RNA is filed under the name uncultured bacterium. RNAcentral describes it as "partial 16S ribosomal RNA". It matches the Rfam family "Bacterial small subunit ribosomal RNA", at positions 524 to 776 of the family's 1533-position model. The record is from RNAcentral.